Molecule: long non-coding RNA, 1253 nt
Organism: Homo sapiens (human)
Lineage: Eukaryota; Metazoa; Chordata; Mammalia; Primates; Hominidae
Product: long intergenic non-protein coding RNA 1726
Source: Ensembl
CAGUGGAUACUCGUGAUCCGGAAAAGCAGCUAAAGCCGCUUCUUCCCCCCAGUAGGUGAGGAGUCAACAGGCACACUCUAAAGACGAGGAAAUAAAGCCGGUCGUGACACCGUGAGAGCUGGUUCGCCCAACUACCCUUUCAGGGGAACGUCCACCCCACCUCUGCUGCCGAGCUUGGAAAAGUGGCAAGGAGUCGCAGUCCAGGACAAAACUCCGCCCCCGUCCCCGUGAAGGCCGCCCGUGGCUGGGGGCUACUGUAGAGGGAGAAAAUGAAAAGAAUGGCAUGAUCAGAAGUUGAGCAGUGUACAUCCUGCACAGCCAAAUGCAACAGGUCUUUUCCAGAGUCUGCUGCCACUCGCAGGGGUCCCCAAUCCCUGGGAUGCAAACCAGGGGCCAUAAGCCAGGUCCAUGGUGUGUUAGGAACCAGGCUACGCAGCAGAAGGAUCCGUCCUUCUGCACAACCCAUGCUGUCAACCAGGAGCUAUUCUGUCCCCACCGACUCAACGAGGCAGCAACCAGUUCUGUACAUGAAGAUUCCAAGGGAUCCCAAAUGGCACGUGUUAGAACAGACACUAUCCAAGAAGGAAAGGACAUAUCUGUCAACCAUGCUACAAGUGUCAUGCCACCAUGGAAGUUGAUUGCUAGAUACUGAGCUGGCAUACACCACACACACACACACACACACACACACACACACACACACACGCUGAAGCAUCCUCAGAAUUCCUGCAACUCCAAGGUUCAAACGUCCAAGAAGAAUACUGUGGGAGACAGAGUCACUCUGUAGCCCAUGCUGAAGUGCAGGGUUGCCAUCACAGCUCACUGCAGCCUCAAACUCCUGGGCUCAAGUGAUCCUCCCUCCUUGGCCUCCAAAGCACUGGGAUUACAGGAGUAAGCCACCACACCCAGCCUGUUAUUGUAUUUUAUGAAAAUGCUCACCUAUGGUGGAUUGAAAAUGCACUUAAACAUCUAUUUUUAAGUCAAGAUGUCCUCUCUCUGUCUCUUAACUUUCCAUGACUUGACUAGCAGGCACAUUCAAGGUACUUCAUGCAUCAUGAAGCAGAUGGAACAGGCGGCUCUCCAUUCUAGAGAUCCCUGGCUGUAAGGGUCUGUCCCUUUGCUAGUGUGGGAGGUCAGCCUGCCUUGCAGAAUGAACCAUACGGAUUCAAAGACUAAUCCCAAAUAUGCCAGGAUUGUCACUUUCAUUUCAUUAGACUUUCUAAGCCCAAUGUAAGUGUUGUUUAUGCUGAAUG